UUAAGCGACUAAGCGUACACGGUGGAUGCCCUGGCAGUCAGAGGCGAUGAAGGACGUGCUAAUCUGCGAUAAGCGUCGGUAAGGUGAUAUGAACCGUUAUAACCGGCGAUUUCCGAAUGGGGAAACCCAGUGUGAUUCGUCACACUAUCAUUAACUGAAUCCAUAGGUUAAUGAGGCGAACCGGGGGAACUGAAACAUCUAAGUACCCCGAGGAAAAGAAAUCAACCGAGAUUCCCCCAGUAGCGGCGAGCGAACGGGGAGGAGCCCAGAGCCUGAAUCAGUGUGUGUGUUAGUGGAAGCGUCUGGAAAGGCGCGCGAUACAGGGUGACAGCCCCGUACACAAAAAUGCACAUACUGUGAGCUCGAUGAGUAGGGCGGGACACGUGGUAUCCUGUCUGAAUAUGGGGGGACCAUCCUCCAAGGCUAAAUACUCCUGACUGACCGAUAGUGAACCAGUACCGUGAGGGAAAGGCGAAAAGAACCCCGGCGAGGGGAGUGAAAAAGAACCUGAAACCGUGUACGUACAAGCAGUGGGAGCCUCUUUAUGGGGUGACUGCGUACCUUUUGUAUAAUGGGUCAGCGACUUAUAUUCUGUAGCAAGGUUAACCGAAUAGGGGAGCCGAAGGGAAACCGAGUCUUAACUGGGCGUUAAGUUGCAGGGUAUAGACCCGAAACCCGGUGAUCUAGCCAUGGGCAGGUUGAAGGUUGGGUAACACUAACUGGAGGACCGAACCGACUAAUGUUGAAAAAUUAGCGGAUGACUUGUGGCUGGGGGUGAAAGGCCAAUCAAACCGGGAGAUAGCUGGUUCUCCCCGAAAGCUAUUUAGGUAGCGCCUCGUGAAUUCAUCUCCGGGGGUAGAGCACUGUUUCGGCAAGGGGGUCAUCCCGACUUACCAACCCGAUGCAAACUGCGAAUACCGGAGAAUGUUAUCACGGGAGACACACGGCGGGUGCUAACGUCCGUCGUGAAGAGGGAAACAACCCAGACCGCCAGCUAAGGUCCCAAAGUCAUGGUUAAGUGGGAAACGAUGUGGGAAGGCCCAGACAGCCAGGAUGUUGGCUUAGAAGCAGCCAUCAUUUAAAGAAAGCGUAAUAGCUCACUGGUCGAGUCGGCCUGCGCGGAAGAUGUAACGGGGCUAAACCAUGCACCGAAGCUGCGGCAGCGACGCUUAUGCGUUGUUGGGUAGGGGAGCGUUCUGUAAGCCUGUGAAGGUGUACUGUGAGGUAUGCUGGAGGUAUCAGAAGUGCGAAUGCUGACAUAAGUAACGAUAAAGCGGGUGAAAAGCCCGCUCGCCGGAAGACCAAGGGUUCCUGUCCAACGUUAAUCGGGGCAGGGUGAGUCGACCCCUAAGGCGAGGCCGAAAGGCGUAGUCGAUGGGAAACAGGUUAAUAUUCCUGUACUUGGUGUUACUGCGAAGGGGGGACGGAGAAGGCUAUGUUGGCCGGGCGACGGUUGUCCCGGUUUAAGCGUGUAGGCUGGUUUUCCAGGCAAAUCCGGAAAAUCAAGGCUGAGGCGUGAUGACGAGGCACUACGGUGCUGAAGCAACAAAUGCCCUGCUUCCAGGAAAAGCCUCUAAGCAUCAGGUAACAUCAAAUCGUACCCCAAACCGACACAGGUGGUCAGGUAGAGAAUACCAAGGCGCUUGAGAGAACUCGGGUGAAGGAACUAGGCAAAAUGGUGCCGUAACUUCGGGAGAAGGCACGCUGAUAUGUAGGUGAAGCGACUUGCUCGUGGAGCUGAAAUCAGUCGAAGAUACCAGCUGGCUGCAACUGUUUAUUAAAAACACAGCACUGUGCAAACACGAAAGUGGACGUAUACGGUGUGACGCCUGCCCGGUGCCGGAAGGUUAAUUGAUGGGGUUAGCGCAAGCGAAGCUCUUGAUCGAAGCCCCGGUAAACGGCGGCCGUAACUAUAACGGUCCUAAGGUAGCGAAAUUCCUUGUCGGGU
RNAcentral lists this ribosomal RNA (1948 nucleotides) under human gut metagenome. Its description in RNAcentral is "bacterial LSU rRNA". It matches the Rfam family "Bacterial large subunit ribosomal RNA", at positions 1 to 1977 of the family's 2925-position model. The record is from RNAcentral.